RNAcentral lists this unclassified non-coding RNA (331 nucleotides) under soil metagenome. Its description in RNAcentral is "partial contains 5.8S ribosomal RNA, internal transcribed spacer 2, and large subunit ribosomal RNA". The stretch from base 1 to 120 matches the Rfam family "5.8S ribosomal RNA", at positions 35 to 154 of the family's 154-position model. The record is from RNAcentral.
GAUGAAGAACGUAGCGAAAUGCGAUAAGUAAUGUGAAUUGCAGAAUUCAGUGAAUCAUCGAAUGUUUGAACGCACAUUGCGCCCCCUGGUAUUCCGGGGGGCAUGCCUGUUCGAGCGUCAUUUCACCACUCAAGCCUCGCUUGGUAUUGGGCAACGCGGUCCGCCGCGUGCCUCAAAUCGACCGGCUGGGUCUUCUGUCCCCUAAGCGUUGUGGAAACUAUUCGCUAAAGGGUGUUCGGGAGGCUACGCCGUAAAACAACCCCAUUUCUAAGGUUGACCUCGGAUCAGGUAGGGAUACCCGCUGAACUUAAGCAUAUCAAUAAGCGGAGGA